AAUCUAUGAUGAUUCCCUUAGUAACGGCGAGUGAACAGGGAAAAGCCCAAAUUUGUAAUCUGGCACUUUUUACAAGUGUCCGAGUUGUAAUUUGUAGAGCUGUUAUCCGUACUGGACCAUGUACAAGUCUGUUGAAAAGCAGCAUCAUUGAAGGUGAAAAUCCUGUAGAUGAUAUGGACUACCAGUAUAUUUGUGAUACGGUUUCUAAGAGUCGAGUUGUUUGGGAAUGCAGCUCAAAGUGGGUGGUAAAUUCCAUCUAAGGCUAAAUAUAAGUGAGAGACCGAUAGCAAACAAGUACCGUGAGGGAAAGAUGAAAAGAACUUUGAAAAUAGAGUUAACAGUACGUGAAAUUGCUGAAAGGGAAACGUUUGAAGUUAGUUUUGUAUUCGUUGGAUCAGCUUCGCAAGGAGUGUAUUCUGAUGAUAAGCAAGUCAACAUCAGUCUAUGAGUGUUGGAUAAGGGUUUUGAGAAUGUAGCAAUUUAAUUGUGUUAUAGCUUGAGACUUGGAUACGAUGCUUUGGAUUGAGGAACGCGUAGUAAGC
RNAcentral lists this ribosomal RNA (542 nucleotides) under Melampsora laricis-epitea f. sp. laricis-epitea. RNAcentral describes it as "eukaryotic LSU rRNA". It matches the Rfam family "Eukaryotic large subunit ribosomal RNA", at positions 63 to 606 of the family's 3401-position model. RNAcentral also lists the same sequence under 2 other names. Lineage: Eukaryota; Fungi; Basidiomycota; Pucciniomycetes; Pucciniales; Melampsoraceae. The record is from RNAcentral.